Molecule: long non-coding RNA, 3275 nt
Organism: Anolis carolinensis (green anole)
Lineage: Eukaryota; Metazoa; Chordata; Lepidosauria; Squamata; Anolidae
Exons: 3
Source: RefSeq, a predicted model, not a curated record
CAGGAAAAACUCAGCCGCUAUCAGGACCUCAAGAUUGAACUUCAAAGACUCUGGCAGAAACCAGUGCAGGUGGUCCCGGUGGUGAUGGUCACACUGGGUGCUGUGCCAAAAGAUCUCAGCCGGCAUUUGGAAACAAUAGACAUUGACAAAAUCACGAUCUGCCAACUGCAAAAGGCCACCCUACUGGGAUCUGCACGCAUCAUCCGAAAAUACAUCACACAGUCCUAGACACUUGGGAAGUGUUCGACUUGUGAUUUUGUGAUAUGAAAUCCAGCAUAUCUAUCUUGUUUGCUGUGUCAUACAACGUCGUUGUGUCAAUAUAAUAAUAAUAAUAAUAAUAAUAAUAAUAAUAAUAAUAUGUGUUACCUUACAACCUCUGAGGAUGCCUGCCUGCCAUAGAUGUGGGCGAUAUGUCAGGAGAAAAUAUUUCUAGAACAUGGCCAUACAGCCCGGAAAACAUACAACAACCCUAUAAUAAUAAUAAUAAUAAUAAUAAUAAUAAUAAUAAUAAUAAUAAUAAGAAGAAGAAGAAGAAGAAGAAGAAGAAGAAUAAAAACCUUUAUUUCUAGACCUCCCUCUCUCCCCAGAGAGACUCAGGGUGGUUAACAUACAUAUAAAUGGCAAGCAUUCAAUCCCACAACUACUUCACUUAAUAUCAAAAGUAUAAAACGACAAUUAUUAUAAAAAUUCCAAGUUAGAAAAAACAAUAGAUUUAAACAUGACACUCAGUAAAAACAUUAUUGCACAGACCGAAUUAAAUGACCAAGUUGCAGAAAAUGUUCAGUAUUUGUUGUAGUUUCACUUAGACCAUAGCUGCUAUGGGGUGACAAUUAUGUUAAUCCUUCUCCUCUCCGUACACUAAGGUGCAUAGAAUUGUCUUUAACUGUUUCUUAAAGGAGAGGAGGAGGGGGUCAUUUUUAUUUCUUUAGGGAGGGAGUUCCAGAGGCGGAGGGCAAUCAUGGAGAAGGGCCCCUCUCUCGUUCCCACCAGCCGCGCUUGUGGCUCUAUUGGACUAUUGAAUUAUGGUCAUAACCUAUUUGGUAGCAGAGUUUCAGGAGUGUUCCAUUAGUUUAUUGGGUAAUGGAAGAUCACUGGGCACAUAAAUAUCUUGUUUCUAUUUGAUGCUCUCAGCAGACAAAGAUUCAAGUAGACUUGAAUUCAAGUAGUAGUAAAAUAACAUGCUUGUUUUACUCAUGGGAACCCCUGGUGGUGCAGCAGAUUAAACCACUGAGCUGCUGAACUUGCUGACGAAAAGGUUGGCGGUUUGAAUCCGGGGAGCGUGUUGAGCUCCCGCUGUUAGCCCCGGCUUCUGCCAAGCCAGCAGUUCAAAAAGAUGCAAAUGUGAGUAGAUCAAUAGGUACUGCUCCAGCGGAAAGGUAACGGCGCUCCAUGCAGUUAUGCUAGCCAGAUAACCUUGGAGGUGUCUAUGGACAACGCCAGCUCUUCAGCUUAGAAAUGAGCACCAACCCCCAGAGUCAAACAUAACUAGACUUAAUGUCAGGGGAAACCCUUUACCUUUGCCUUUACCCAUAAUUUCAUGUAUUUAAAUAUACAGAUACCUUUCUUGUCAGGCUAAACUUUAAAAUGUUUCAACUUGUAUCUUUAACUUAUAAUCUUUAACAGUCUGUUCAAAACUAUAUUGCUUUGUACAGCUCUCUUUAAUAACAGCCUACUUCCAAGGAACUCAAGCCUCAACAGACUUCUGACUUCUAAAACUGGCUACUGUACUCAAACAGACACAAGCCUCAACUGACUUCUGACUUUUAACACUGGCUUCUGUACUCAAACAAACUCAAGCCUCAACUGUCAUUCCCCAACUAUCAUCCUUUUUAAAAUGCAUCCUAAACAGUCACAUGACCACCAGCCCCUCCUACUGCUUCAAGUACAUAGAGCUAAGAAAACUGCAAACCAAAGAAGUCAUACACUUCAGGAAAUAAACAGACACAUUAUGAAACAGAUAAAACAUUAAAUAGAGGAAGCUUGAGAAGGUUGCUGUCUCCAACAUCAUCAGAUAUUUUGUUUCCAAUUUUGCUCUUCGUGUGCGUCAUCCUUGAAAAUAGUUGCUCACAAAUGUUGAUAUUGCCAAAAAAACGAUGGCAUGAACAAGACAAGGUUGCUAAGCGAAGAAUAUUUGUCUCUAGGAGAUUCAAAGCGGUGUCCUGGAAGAUUAAACUCCAUGAUCAACUUAGAGUAGCAGUGACACAGGUACAAUAUAUAAGUUUUCCAAGUGCUGAUGAGAGCAAUGACACCAGUGUCCAAUCUGGAGAGUAGAACCUGGUCCUUCUGCCAAGGCUGCCCUGAACUCAUAGGAUAACACAAAGUUUCCAGCAAACUCCAGAGUGCUCCUCAACUUUGCUAAACAUGGGGUACAGUCAGUUUAAGCUGAAAACUCAAGAAAUACUUACAGAAGCUACUGUGUGCAUGAAGACAGCCAGUGGUAUAUUCAUGAAUAUUAUCCCUUUCUCACUCUUAAAAGGAUACCAAAAUGAAAAUAUCACCAUCCAUGGAAAUAUCAUACAAAUUCAAGAUAUCUCUUUUCAAAUACUAAGAGGUUACCCAGUGCCUUCCUGAUCAGUUUCUAGGUAUUUUAUUCUGUUCUUUUGCACAUGUGCAUCUCUUACAAAUUAUUUCAUGCCUAGAUAUUAGAACAAAAUAGGUAUAUGAUAAUGUGAGAUUCCAGGUAUUUUCUAUUAUAUGCUUCAACUCAAAGCAUUUAUGUCAUAAUAGUCCUCAACUCUCAAAAAUUAACAUCACAUGUGAGCUAUAAGAUGAAGUACUAUUAUUGUACUAUAUACAUAAUUAUGUGUGACAGUAAUAAUAGAAAGCUAUUUGGUCUGAAUAAACUGAAUGGUCUGCAUAAACCUAAAUUUGGUUUAUUGAGAUCACUCCCAGAGAUUUCUUUUUCUUAUGACUUAUAAUAAUAUUCCCACUGGGUCUUUUCAAUACUGUGUCUUCCAAUAUACAUAUUUGGAAUAAUAUUCUGCUGAGGGGGUGCAGUGCAUUCUGCUUAAACUGUUAGAUAAAACAAGCCAUAUAGGUGUAUUCUUUAUUAUUACAAAAGCACAAUGGCAUUGUGAAUACCUGCAAAAAUAGUUAUUCAAGUGUACCUUUUCAUAUUUCUCUUUCAGUUUGGAAGCCUUUUUCUCAAAGGGUAUCUUAUCAUCUUGAGAAGUAUUAUUCCACAUCUCUCCAAGUUUCUUUGCAACAUCUCCAAUAGAAAGACCAGGAUGUUCUCCUUUGAUUUUUGGACGAUACUCAGAACAGAACAAGAAAAA